UUGAACGCUGGCGGCAGGCCUAACCCAUGCAAGUCGCACGGUAACAGGAAACAGCUUGCUGUUUCGCUGACGAGUGGCGGACGGGUGAGUAAUGUCUGGGAAACUGCCUGAUGGAGGGGGAUAACUACUGGAAACGGUAGCUAAUACCGCAUAACGUCGCAAGACCAAAGAGGGGGACCUUCGGGCCUCUUGCCAUCGGAUGUGCCCAGAUGGGAUUAGCUAGUAGGUGGGGUAACGGCUCACCUAGGCGACGAUCCCUAGCUGGUCUGAGAGGAUGACCAGCCACACUGGAACUGAGACACGGUCCAGACUCCUACGGGAGGCAGCAGUGGGGAAUAUUGCACAAUGGGCGCAAGCCUGAUGCAGCCAUGCCGCGUGUAUGAAGAAGGCCUUCGGGUUGUAAAGUACUUUCAGCGGGGAGGAAGGGAGUAAAGUUAAUACCUUUACUCAUUGACGUUACCCGCAGAAGAAGCACCGGCUAACUCCGUG
This 489-nucleotide ribosomal RNA is filed under the name uncultured bacterium. RNAcentral describes it as "partial 16S ribosomal RNA". It matches the Rfam family "Bacterial small subunit ribosomal RNA", at positions 30 to 507 of the family's 1533-position model. The record is from RNAcentral.